CCGAUAAGUACUGUAAAGCUUAUCAAUUAAUAUUAGUGUCUUUACAUUUGUAGAGACACUAAUACUAGUUAGUGCCGAAAGUUAUUAAACCGAAUGGAUUUAGUAGGUAAUUAAGUUGAAUUGACAACUUCCCUCAAGUGCUAUAUGCCGUAGGGUGGAAAAACAACGUGCCACUGAUCA
Molecule: non-coding RNA, 180 nt
Filed under: unclassified sequences
Description: RAGATH-22 RNA
Rfam family: RAGATH-22 RNA
About the family: Veillonella (Firmicutes).
Source: Rfam by way of RNAcentral